This 509-nucleotide long non-coding RNA is filed under the name Pan troglodytes (chimpanzee). RNAcentral's name for it is "long non-coding RNA NONPTRT007809". Lineage: Eukaryota; Metazoa; Chordata; Mammalia; Primates; Hominidae. The record is from RNAcentral.
CUUCACACCUCUAUAUUUCUGUGUGUGUGUCUUUAAUUCCUCUAGAGCCGCUGGGUUACGGUCUCCCCAACCGAGCUGGUCUCGGCAACCAACCCCAACCAGAAAAGAGUUGGCUUUGCCUCUUGGAAAGGACAGAGGAGAGAUUCCCAGCAACGGAAUGAACUGCAAACCACCCAGUAACAUGCCCCAAAGAGAAAGCUUCCACUUUAAAUAUUCACUAAGUUAAUUGAUGAUAACUUUUCAUGGCAGUUCUUGUAAAGAGAAGACCUUUCUCUUCUUCCUUGAACUUGUUCUAAGCCCUGGAAAUUUUGGCUAGUGAGAUACAGGUAGAAAAGUAGAGGCCCAGAGAAAGAAGAAGAGAACGUGCUGACUACACCUCAUUUUUGUCAAAGCAUUUUUAGAGAGUGCAACUAAAUGCAUGUAUUGAAACCUGGAUCUAAUGCGAUCGUGAAGAUAUCAUUUUACUAAUCUUUUAUUUAUGUCCCACACUUGGUAGGGCACACUUCAGA